GAUGAAGAACGUAGCGAAAUGCGAUACGUAAUGUGAAUCGCAGAAUUCAGUGAAUCAUCGAAUCUUUGAACGCAUAUUGCGCUCUCUGGUAUUCCGGAGAGCAUGCUUGUUUGAGUAUCAGUAAACACCUCAACUCCCUUUUCUUUUUUGAAAUUGGAGCUGGACUUGAGUGAUCCCAACGCUUUCUUCCAAGAAAGUGGCGGGUUGCUUGAAAUGCAGGUGCAGCUGAACUUUUCUCUGAGCUAUAAGCAUAUCUAUUUAGUCUGCCUAAAAAACAGAUUAUUACCUUUGCUGCAGCUAACAUAAAGGAGACUAGUUCUUGUGCUGACUGAUGCAGGAUUCACAGAGACAGCUUCGGCUGACUUUGUAAACUCGAUCUCAAAUCAAGUAAGACUACCCGCUGAACUUAAGCAUAUCAAUAAGCGGAGGA
RNAcentral lists this unclassified non-coding RNA (430 nucleotides) under soil metagenome. RNAcentral's name for it is "partial contains 5.8S ribosomal RNA, internal transcribed spacer 2, and large subunit ribosomal RNA". The stretch from base 1 to 120 matches the Rfam family "5.8S ribosomal RNA", at positions 35 to 154 of the family's 154-position model. The record is from RNAcentral.